Molecule: ribosomal RNA, 253 nt
Filed under: uncultured bacterium
Lineage: Bacteria
Description: partial 16S ribosomal RNA
Rfam family: Bacterial small subunit ribosomal RNA
Source: RNAcentral
UACGUAGGGUGCAAGCGUUGUCCGGAAUUAUUGGGCGUAAAGAGCUCGUAGGCGGUCUGUCACGUCGGCUGUGAAAACCCGGGGCUCAACCCCGGGCCUGCAGUCGAUACGGGCAGACUAGAGUGCGGUAGGGGAGACUGGAAUUCCUGGUGUAGCGGUGAAAUGCGCAGAUAUCAGGAGGAACACCGGUGGCGAAGGCGGGUCUCUGGGCCGUAACUGACACUGAGGCACGAAAGCGUGGGGAGCAAACAGG